Molecule: ribosomal RNA, 252 nt
Filed under: uncultured prokaryote
Description: partial 16S rRNA
Rfam family: Archaeal small subunit ribosomal RNA
Source: RNAcentral
ACCGGCAGCUCAAGUGGUGGCCAUUUUUAUUGGGCCUAAAGCGUUCGUAGCCGGUUUGAUAAGUCUCUGGUGAAAUCCCGCAGCUUAACUGUGGGACUUGCUGGAGAUACUAUUAGACUUGAGGUCGGGAGAGGUUAGGGGUACUCCCAGGGUAGGGGUGAAAUCCUAUAAUCGUGGGAGGACUACCGGUGGCGAAGGGGCCGAACUGGAACGAACCUGACGGUGAGUAACGAAUGCCAGGGGCGCAAACGG